This 251-nucleotide ribosomal RNA is filed under the name uncultured prokaryote. Its description in RNAcentral is "partial 16S ribosomal RNA". It matches the Rfam family "Bacterial small subunit ribosomal RNA", at positions 525 to 775 of the family's 1533-position model. The record is from RNAcentral.
ACAGAGGCGGCAAGCGUUGUUCGGAAUUAUUGGGCGUAAAGAGCACGUAGGCGGCCUUGCAAGUCAGUUGUGAAAGCCUUCCGCUUAACGGAAGAACGGCAUCUGAUACUACAGGGCUUGAGGACGGUAGAGGGGUGUGGAAUUCCGGGUGUAGUGGUGAAAUGCGUAGAGAUCCGGAGGAACACCAGAGGCGAAGGCGACACCCUGGGCCGUACCUGACGCUAAGACGCGACAGCACGGGGAGCGAACGG